AAGUCGUAACAAGGUCUCCGUAGGUGAACCUGCGGAGGGAUCAUUAACACGAACCAUAGUAUAGUAAUAUAUUAUGUCGUAACCCUAUCAACCAAACCGUGCACUCGAGUCUGUCAUGGGCUCAUAAAACAAUCUCCCCUAUAUUUAUUUUAUAGAUAUAGGGCCCCUCAAUAGUAGUAUUCCUCUAGUAUUAACCUUCGGGUUAAUAGUAUGAAUAUUAUUAUUAUUUUACAAACCUAUCUAACCCUAACCUAUAACCAUAGACUGAUUACGUACAAGUGAUAUUGUCAUAUUUCCCCUCUGUGGGUUAUGUGGUGAUAUACAUCUUGGCCUUUGGACAUUCCAAAACUAUAACAAAGAGUACAACUCUUAGCAAUGGAUAUCUAGGUUGCC
This 393-nucleotide unclassified non-coding RNA is filed under the name fungal sp. RNAcentral describes it as "partial internal transcribed spacer region". The stretch from base 1 to 46 matches the Rfam family "Eukaryotic small subunit ribosomal RNA", at positions 1786 to 1831 of the family's 1831-position model. The record is from RNAcentral. Lineage: Eukaryota; Fungi.